AACGAACGCUGGCGGCAUGCCUAACACAUGCAAGUCGAACGAACUCUUCGGAGUUAGUGGCGCACGGGUGCGUAACGCGUGGGAAUCUGCCCUUGGGUACGGAAUAACUCAGAGAAAUUUGUGCUAAUACCGUAUAAUGACUUCGGUCCAAAGAUUUAUCGCCCAAGGAUGAGCCCGCGUAAGAUUAGCUAGUUGGUGAGGUGUUGGUGGGGUAAAAGCCUACCAAGGCGACGAUCUUUAGCUGGUCUGAGAGGAUGAUCAGCCACACUGGGACUGAGACACGGCCCAGACUCCUACGGGAGGCAGCAGUGGGGAAUAUUGGACAAUGGGCGAAAGCCUGAUCCAGCAAUGCCGCGUGAGUGAUGAAGGCCUUAGGGUGUAAAGCUCUUUACCCGGGAUGAUAAUGACAGUACCGGGAGAAUAAGCUCCGGCUAACUCCGUGCCAGC
This 447-nucleotide ribosomal RNA is filed under the name uncultured bacterium. Its description in RNAcentral is "bacterial SSU rRNA". It matches the Rfam family "Bacterial small subunit ribosomal RNA", at positions 29 to 512 of the family's 1533-position model. The record is from RNAcentral.